UCCAAUGUGGUGUAGUGGCUAACAUUGCUGUCUUUCAUACAUCCUUUGUGUGGUUAUGCAAACACAGCAGCCCGGGGUUCGAUUCCCCGCAUUGGAA
Non-coding RNA from Moniliophthora roreri, 97 nucleotides. NCBI's taxonomy places the organism in Eukaryota, Fungi, Basidiomycota, Agaricomycetes, Agaricales, Marasmiaceae. The record is from Rfam.